AUGGUGGGCUUCUUGGAGGAGCAGCUUGGUUAGAAGCUGGUGAUGAGCAGCAGCAAGGAUGACCAGUGGCAGUGGUAGGACUUCAUGUGGGACAUGACUUGGCUGGCGCUGCCCUACAAGGAGAAGCACAGAAACUUUGGAACAAAUACCAAAUUUCCAAUAUUCCAUUGCUAAUAUUCGUAGAUGCCACCACUGCAAAGGUUGUGGGCAAGAAUGGGCUGCUGGUGAUCUGAGAUGACCCAGAAGGUAUGGAAUUCCCUUGGGGACCUAACCUUUUCAGGUUUAUGAAAUGACUCACAGUUCUUGGAGAGCAGCAUCCCAGAAAGGCCUUACAUAGGACCCUAUUUCUCUGCACAUGGGUGUUCAUCCUGCCAAAGCCUCACCCAGGUCCUGGUGGAAUCUUAUUAGAAGAUCAAGGAGGCAGGCCAGAACUUUGAGAUUAUCUUAGUCAGUGAAGACAGAUCAGAGAGUCCUUCAAACAGUACUUCAGUGAUAGGUUCUGGCUCACUAACCCCCAUACUGAAAAGGCCUGGAAGUCGCACCCCAUCUGGCUGUAUAGAAUCCAAGGCAUUCCCCAUGCUCAUUGUGCUGGGCCCACAGGGUGAGGUGAUCAUGUGGCGGGGUGAGUGGAGGUGCUUAACGACGAGGACUGCUGGGAGUUCCCGUGGCACCCAAGCCCGUGCUGAAGCUCUCUGACUCCAACACUUUGCAGCUCAACUGGCCCCUGCCUCCUCCUUUUUGUAGACUCUGAGGAUGACAGAGAGUCCCAGGAAGCCAAGCAGCUGAUUCAGCCAAUAGCUGAGAAAAUCAUUGCCAAGUGCAAAGCCAAAGAGGAGGAGCAUCACUUCCAUUUUUUGUAUCUGGGGAGGAUGAUAUGAUAGACUUCCUGCAAGGUUACACCAACCUGCCUGAGGCUGCCCCUUUGCUCACUAUCCUGGACAUGUCAUCACUGAUGGAGUAUGUGAUGGACGUGGAAGAAGAUCACCCCUGCCAUUGUGGAGGCCUUUGUGAAUAACUUCCUGGCAGAAAAGCUCAAUCCAGAGCCCAUCUA
RNAcentral lists this long non-coding RNA (1051 nucleotides) under Homo sapiens (human). RNAcentral describes it as "non-protein coding lnc-ZC3H11B-12:1". The record is from RNAcentral. Lineage: Eukaryota; Metazoa; Chordata; Mammalia; Primates; Hominidae.